AAAAGUUGAGUCAUAAAUCAUGCUGCUUUGAUAUGAGACAAAAAGGAACUUGUAUGCAUUAUAUAGCAUUAAUCUGAGUUGGAAUUUGUUGCAAAUUCUUUGCCUUCAAAAACAACUCUUUAUAGGUCCCCCACGUUCAACUUCACUAUAAAAUUUCAAGUACCCUCUCCUGAGCCAAGUUAUUUAGAUAACAUUAGGUUAUCAAUUUUUUACUAAAAUUUCCAAUUAAAGCUAAACAGACCUUUAAAGAUCUGGUUUCAACUGACAAUUCAAGCAUUAUGUCUUUGUUGAUCUUAAAUUAUCACGUGCAAUAUUUGGUUUGUUUUCUGAUUGAUGAAACAUUGAUAUUUUUCAGCUAAUUUUACCACUAUAACUAGCUGUUCUCAUUGAAUCACUGCUCCAAAGAAUUAUUCUCAAAAGCCAGACUUUAUCCAGAAUCUGAGUCAGUCAUCAAGUAAUAAUUUAUUUCAGUAAUUUUCCGACAGCAUAUCAAAAUAUACAUUUUUGUUUUACCUUCAAGCUAUCAUACAGGAAAUUCACUAUUUACUAAAAACAAAAGC
Populus euphratica (Euphrates poplar) is the source of this 560-nucleotide long non-coding RNA. RefSeq lists it as uncharacterized. NCBI's taxonomy places the organism in Eukaryota, Viridiplantae, Streptophyta, Magnoliopsida, Malpighiales, Salicaceae. The record is from RefSeq and is a predicted model, not a curated record. The transcript has 2 exons.